GGGAGUUGUCUGCGGGGGGAUGGAGAUUAUUGAGUGCUGCCUGCUUUUAUUAGGGUUGUUUUGUGGUCGAGCACAGGUAGAUGGAAAUCCAGUGAAUUUGGCACAAAAAGCCAAAGCCUCUCAGAUCAGCACAAUCAGUUCUCUGUGGGUCGCGAACAACGCCAUCGAUGGAGGCAAGAAUUUCUCCACAUUAUCAACUACAUGCGCUGCUACUACCUGGGAAAAUUUCCCAUGGCUUAAGGUGGAUCUGCAGGCUGUCUAUCAAGUGAGCACUGCCACGGUCACUUACAGAGAGGACAGCUUUCCAGACAAGACAGUCACGGUGAACUUCGGAAGCUCUCUUGAAUUCGAUGGAUACAACAAUCCCAAGUAAGUGAU
Molecule: long non-coding RNA, 378 nt
Filed under: Danio rerio (zebrafish)
Lineage: Eukaryota; Metazoa; Chordata; Actinopteri; Cypriniformes; Danionidae
Description: lncRNA (ENSDARG00000117582.1)
Source: RNAcentral